This 509-nucleotide ribosomal RNA is filed under the name uncultured bacterium. Its description in RNAcentral is "partial 16S ribosomal RNA". The stretch from base 20 to 332 matches the Rfam family "Bacterial small subunit ribosomal RNA", at positions 47 to 358 of the family's 1533-position model. The record is from RNAcentral.
GACGAACGCUGGCGGCGUGCUUAACACAUGCAAGUCGAACGGAAAGGCCCUGCUUUUGUGGGGUGCUCGAGUGGCGAACGGGUGAGUAACACGUGAGUAACCUGCCCUUGACUUUGGGAUAACUUCAGGAAACUGGGGCUAAUACCGGAUAGGAGCUCCUGCUGCAUGGUGGGGGUUGGAAAGUUUCGGCGGUUGGGGAUGGACUCGCGGCUUAUCAGCUUGUUGGUGGGGUAGUGGCUUACCAAGGCUUUGACGGGUAGCCGGCCUGAGAGGGUGACCGGCAGGCGUGGGACGGAGGCAGGGCCGAGGCUGCGAGGGGAGGAAGGGGAGGGGACAUGCACAGAAGGGUGACAAGCCAGGGGCAGCAGGGGCGCGGGGGGGAGGACGGGCUGCGGUUGCAACGCCGGUGGGGCGUGGGACGGGGCGUGGGGGGAGGAAAGGGGUAAAGACGCGGAGGCCAACGGCGGACGGGCAGCGGCGGGGAUAGGAGGAAGAGCAAGCGUCUAAGC